Molecule: long non-coding RNA, 296 nt
Organism: Belonocnema kinseyi
Lineage: Eukaryota; Metazoa; Arthropoda; Insecta; Hymenoptera; Cynipidae
Exons: 3
Source: RefSeq, a predicted model, not a curated record
GAGUCUCAAGUCGUGCUUGCACAAAUGUAGCCUUCUCGACACACGGUGCGUGAUGGGAAUUUAGUUCGAGUGCAAGGAGUCGUGCACUCACAGAAUGCCGCAAAAGGGGAGCAUAAAAUAAAAUGGGAAAUAUGUUACUCACCAUUCACUUAUAUAUGACAACGGAAGGCUGUGUGCUUCCCCGAGACAACCUACUUUUUUUCGAGGAUUCCACUUUGACUCACAAAAUCAUAAACAUAUUUAUGUAAAAUGAAGUAAAAACAAAAUUUUCUGUGGACGUUAAGACAGUAAUAAAA